RNAcentral lists this long non-coding RNA (417 nucleotides) under Homo sapiens (human). RNAcentral's name for it is "HSALNT0051492". Lineage: Eukaryota; Metazoa; Chordata; Mammalia; Primates; Hominidae. The record is from RNAcentral.
CCUCUGGAGUUACUUACAUGUCCUACCUACCCAGGAUAGAAUUGCGAACUCAAAUUUCCUGCCUCUCUUGCGGUUAGAAUGCAGGCCUGUGACAUUGGCUCUACUUACUAGAUGUACCCAUGGAAAUGUAAGGAAUGUGAGGAUACAAGCUCUGCAGACAGCUACUACUCUUCUGGCUACAAGAUCAAGUUCCAGACACAGAAUUGACACUGAUCCUGGGAGCAGGAGCAAAUGAAGAAAAGUCGAGCUCCUGAUAUUUGGAGCUUGAUGGGAACAGCAUGCCAGUUAGUUCUGCCAUGGUUUUGGGCAUUUUUCUAGAAGUUUAGCCCAGGAUUGUUUUUCCAGCUCUCUCAAUAAUUUUGUUAUAAAUUUUUAAAAUUCCUGCAUGGAUUCUGUUGUUUACAACAAAGAACUUUA